RNAcentral lists this ribosomal RNA (554 nucleotides) under uncultured bacterium. Its description in RNAcentral is "partial 16S ribosomal RNA". It matches the Rfam family "Bacterial small subunit ribosomal RNA", at positions 355 to 925 of the family's 1533-position model. The record is from RNAcentral.
UGGGGAAUAUUGCACAAUGGGCGAAAGCCUGAUGCAGCGACGCCGCGUGAGUGAUGAAGGCCUUCGGGCUGUAAAGCUCUGUCUUUUGGGACGAUAAUGACGGUACCAAAGGAGGAAGCCACGGCUAACUACGUGCCAGCAGCCGCGGUAAUACGUAGGUGGCAAGCGUUGUCCGGAUUUACUGGGCGUAAAGGAUGCGUAGGCGGAUUUUUAAGUGAGAUGUGAAAUACCCGGGCUUAACUUGGGUGCUGCAUUUCAAACUGGGAAUCUAGAGUGCGGGAGAGGAGAAUGGAAUUCCUAGUGUAGCGGUGAAAUGCGUAGAGAUUAGGAAGAACACCAGUGGCGAAGGCGAUUCUCUGGACCGUAACUGACGCUGAGGCAUGAAAGCGUGGGUAGCAAACAGGAUUAGAUACCCUGGUAGUCCACGCCGUAAACGAUGAGUACUAGGUGUAGGAGGUAUCGACCCCUUCUGUGCCGCAGUUAACACAAUAAGUACUCCGCCUGGGAAGUACGAUCGCAAGAUUAAAACUUAAAUGAAUUGACGGGGUCAUAGC